UACGGAGGGUGCAAGCGUUAAUCGGAAUUACUGGGCGUAAAGCGCACGUAGGCUGUAGUGUAAGUCAGGGGUGAAAUCCCACGGCUCAACCGUGGAACUGCCUUUGAAACUGUCUGACUAGAGUCUUGUAGAGGGGGGUAGAAUUCCAGGUGUAGCGGUGAAAUGCGUAGAGAUCUGGAGGAAUACCGGUGGCGAAGGCGGCCACCUGGACCGGUAUUGACGCUGAGGUGCGAAAGCGUGGGGAGCAAAC
RNAcentral lists this ribosomal RNA (250 nucleotides) under uncultured bacterium. Its description in RNAcentral is "partial 16S ribosomal RNA". It matches the Rfam family "Bacterial small subunit ribosomal RNA", at positions 524 to 773 of the family's 1533-position model. The record is from RNAcentral.